Molecule: long non-coding RNA, 636 nt
Organism: Homo sapiens (human)
Lineage: Eukaryota; Metazoa; Chordata; Mammalia; Primates; Hominidae
Source: Ensembl
UUUUGUUUCAUGUUUGGGGAGUAGGAAAAAUAGAACCUGAAAGUUGAAAAUCUCCAUCUUAUAAAUGAAUAUCAUUGCCUCUACCUAGAAAGCUACUACUGACCUAUCAAAAACCUUGUAGACAAGUUAAUACUUCUGUGAUGUGUGCAGCUCUUUAAACAAUCUGCCUGUCAUGCCAGAGAGUACAUUUUCACUUGGCUUCUUUAACAGACAGUCUAAGAAGAAAGAAUAAUACCAAGGACUCCACAGCUGCUUCUGCAUGAGGCAAGGGUUUUCCAUCUGUACUGUAGUAUUUGGCCCUUAAAUAACUUUUUACACCCCACAGUGCAUGUCUAUAUAACAAGGAAGGAAAGGGAGUUGGAACUACAUGGGGCCACAUGAGAAAUGGAAUUGCUUCUUUUGGCUUAAGGGCAUAGGCAAUCUAAGACGCUUCUCCCUGGGACAUACCAUGUAGUUUUUUAUUGACUUCCAGUGAUUUUAAUGCUGAAAGAGCCAAAGUCAAGGUGAGUGUUCUUAACAUAUUGACAUCAAUGGCCCAGCCAAGGAGCUGCCAACAGGCCUUUGAGAGAACAGUUAGGACUCCUUGUUUACCUUUCCCCACAAAGACAUUGGAUCGGGGUGGGGUGCAUAUAAUAU